Paramuricea clavata is the source of this 718-nucleotide non-coding RNA. Lineage: Eukaryota; Metazoa; Cnidaria; Anthozoa; Malacalcyonacea; Plexauridae. The record is from the annotation of a GenBank genome assembly.
UUAAAUUGUAAAUCUUUGCGCAAUUCAACCCUCGGGUUGCAAGGCAAAUUUUCAUGAAACGAUCCUUAUUAGCCAACUUGUUGUAUUAUGUGUUAUAUACUGCAUGUUUAUAUUUAUUUUCUUUCACGAUAUAGUUCACAGGUACAUGUAUACUGAAUACAUGUAUUACUAACAUCAAAUGUCGUCCGUAUAUAUAAACCCCCUAUAUGUAAACCCAUCCCUACCCCAUGUAUAAGCCCAUCAAAAUAUGCUUAAAGGGAUACGGCAAUAUAUUUUUUUAUUAUUUCAUUUGGAAGAACUUUAAAAUUAUAUGUUAAUCUCUUUUACCGAUUUUGCGUAACUUUAUUAUUUCUUGAGAUAUUUGAACAGAAAAAUCACAAAUCAGCGAGCUAUCCGCCAUCUUGGAUUUUGGCGGAUAUGCAUGUGACAUCAUAAGCAGGGUCACGCAAGAAUUUUAUCCAUAGAGCAAUUGGUUAUUAUGAGCCCAAAAUCAUAUACUUCAGUAACUAUUUGAAAUAAAAAACUGUCUGACGACUUUUCAAACAAGACAUAAUGUUAUUUGGUCAUUUAGAUGUAGUUUUAUAUGGCUAACCCUGCUUAUGACGUCACUAAAAUCACCGAUAAUGAGAUAAAAAUUAAUCCAAGAUGGCGGACAGCAAAUUAUUUUAAGUCAAAAUAUUUCAAGAAAUAAUAAAGUUACGCAAAAUCGGCAAAGGAG